This 253-nucleotide ribosomal RNA is filed under the name uncultured bacterium. RNAcentral's name for it is "partial 16S ribosomal RNA". It matches the Rfam family "Bacterial small subunit ribosomal RNA", at positions 524 to 776 of the family's 1533-position model. The record is from RNAcentral.
UACGUAGGUGGCAAGCGUUGUCCGGAUUUACUGGGCGUAAAGAGCGCGCAGGCGGUCGGAUCAGUCGAAUGUGAAAGCCCCCGGCUCAACUGGGGAGGGUCAUUCGAUACUGUCCGACUCGAAGGCAGGAGAGGGAAGCGGAAUUCCCGGUGUAGUGGUGAAAUGCGUAGAUAUCAGGAGGAACACCGGUGGCGAAGGCGGGUCUCUGGACAGUUCCUGACACUGAGGCACGAAGGCCAGGGGAGCAAACGGG